AAAGGGAAGAAAAAAAUACAAGUAAAACAAGAAAAGGGGACAUUGAAGAUCAAAUAAGGUGAAUAGCAAGGAGAUUUGUAAGCAAGUGCAAUUAAUUCCUCAAUUUACUUUAUUGCGCAGUUGGUGGCAAUUGUUUCCUUGUCACUUACCCACUAGUGUGUCAACGAGAUAGGAUGGACAUAUUGACGCGAUGCACGGGCUCCGUUGCAGCUGAAGUU
Quercus lobata is the source of this 218-nucleotide long non-coding RNA. RefSeq lists it as uncharacterized. Lineage: Eukaryota; Viridiplantae; Streptophyta; Magnoliopsida; Fagales; Fagaceae. The transcript is spliced from 3 exons. The record is from RefSeq and is a predicted model, not a curated record.